Molecule: small nucleolar RNA, 73 nt
Organism: Bradysia coprophila
Lineage: Eukaryota; Metazoa; Arthropoda; Insecta; Diptera; Sciaridae
Product: small nucleolar RNA U18
Source: RefSeq, a predicted model, not a curated record
UUAAUGAUGAAACCAAUUGGUCCGUGUUUAUGAUUUUUCGAUGAUUAACUAUAUUCAACCACUACUGAAUCGC